Molecule: long non-coding RNA, 782 nt
Organism: Esox lucius (northern pike)
Lineage: Eukaryota; Metazoa; Chordata; Actinopteri; Esociformes; Esocidae
Exons: 3
Source: RefSeq, a predicted model, not a curated record
AAUUCAAAAGGAAAGGGUACACGUCAUGUUGUGUGCAAGAAGGAGAAAUGCAAGGCAGUUUAAAAAAAAUGGAAGGCCUAUAUCAUGUCCAUGACUAACAUGCAUUGUUGGGUUAAAUAUGUUCGCAAAUUAAGAUGACAUGCGUUUCAGAACCGUGGACAGACGUUAACAGGGCGAUCCAAAACGAGAAAGAGCCAGACGUUUUCCCCCGACAAGAGCAAAGGGCAUUCUGGGAAUCAGGCAGACGGGAUCGUGGCUGGGGGUUUCCCGUCCCACGCUGACUCUUGGCCUGUGGCCUUGUGAUCAUCCCGUCACCAUGACAACUGACAGAGGGUCCCCGCUGUUAAGGAGACUGAAGAAAGGCAGAACGGUUUCACAGGCAAGGGCCGCGGUGAGAGGAAACAACUCGGAAUCAAUACUGGGCUCCUUUGUCGGCGUCGCUACGACAACACAGCCAGCCUGGGUCUUGUGGAGCGGAGCAAAGGCUCAUGGGAUAGUCAUGACAGACAGCUCUUUACCGGAAGGCUCGGGUGGGAAACAGAGCGUGGCGGCCCGAAGGUCUCACCGGAACUCCUCCUCAGUCAUCUGAUUGCUCGUCUGAGUAAUCGUGUUCUGACAAUCUCAAGUGACUGUCACAAAGAGUCAGUAAAAGUCCUGUGUUAGCAGCAAGGAUUUGAAAGGGACAUUUCGAGUAUUUAGCAUUUUAGGUCUAAUUUUCUCAAAUGUUUGCUUUUAGUAUAUAAGCAUAAUCUAGACAAUUAUUUAGGUCAAAGUUGCAUUUC